RNAcentral lists this ribosomal RNA (425 nucleotides) under uncultured bacterium. Its description in RNAcentral is "partial 16S ribosomal RNA". It matches the Rfam family "Bacterial small subunit ribosomal RNA", at positions 354 to 796 of the family's 1533-position model. The record is from RNAcentral.
GUUAGGAAUAUUGGACAAUGGGCGCAAGCCUGAUCCAGCCAUGCCGCGUGAGUGAUGAAGGCCUUCGAGUUGUAAAGUUCUUUAGCCGAUGAUUAUAAUGACUGUAGUCGGAAAAUAAGCCCCGGCUAACUUCGUGCCAGCAGCCGCGGUAAUACGAAGGGGGCGAGCGUUAUUCGGAAUCACUGGGCGUAAAGCGUGCGUAGGCGGUUUUGUAAGUUAGGAGUGAAAGCCCAGGGCUCAACCUUGGAAUUGCUCUUAAAACUGCAAGGCUCGAAUGUCGGAGAGGAUAGCGGAAUUUCCAGUGUAGCAGUGAAAUGCGUAGAUAUUGGAAGGAACACCAGUGGCGUAAGCGGCUAUCUGGACGAGUAUUGACGCUGAGGCACGAAAGCGUGGGGAUCAAACAGGAUUAGAUACCCGGGUAGUCC